This is a long non-coding RNA of Sinocyclocheilus rhinocerous, 196 nucleotides long. RefSeq lists it as uncharacterized. Lineage: Eukaryota; Metazoa; Chordata; Actinopteri; Cypriniformes; Cyprinidae. The transcript has 4 exons. The record is from RefSeq and is a predicted model, not a curated record.
GUAGAUUUUGUAGUGUAUACAGCUAACAACCCCAAAAUAGUCCAGUGAGAAAAGUUGGGACUGUGUCCAGGCCACUGUGCCUCAUCCACUGUCCACAUUCUCCACUUCUCUGCCAGGACAACUUCCACAACACCCGGCCUGAACCAGUACAACAUUAAGAAGUCUUCAGUCUUGAAAACACAGUUUGAAGCAUGAC